Molecule: ribosomal RNA, 698 nt
Filed under: uncultured bacterium
Lineage: Bacteria
Description: bacterial SSU rRNA
Rfam family: Bacterial small subunit ribosomal RNA
Source: RNAcentral
GUGUGAAAUUUCACGCCCCUAACGGGGAAGCUAAAGCCUUGAGUGUUGAAUAAUAAACUAGCGGCGGACGGGUGCGUAACGCGUGGGUAAUCUGCCCUUGUCACUGGGAUAACACAUCGAAAGGUGUGCUAAUACCGGAUAAAAUACAGACUCGGCAUCGAGAUUGUAUCAAAGUCAUGCGGACAAGGAUGAGUCUGCGUCUGAUUAGCUAGUUGGUGGGGUAAUGGCCUACCAAGGCGACGAUCAGUAGCCGACCUGAGAGGGUGAUCGGCCACACUGGAACUGAGACACGGUCCAGACUCCUACGGGAGGCAGCAGUGGGGAAUAUUGCACAAUGGGCGAAAGCCUGAUGCAGCAACGCCGCGUGAGUGAUGAAGGUUUUCGGAUCGUAAAACUCUGUUCUAAGGGAAGAUAAUGACGGUACCUUAGGAGAAAGCCCCGGCUAACUACGUGCCAGCAGCCGCGGUAAUACGUAGGGGGCAAGCGUUAUCCGGAAUUACUGGGCGUAAAGGGUGCGUAGGUGGCCUGACAAGUCAGGGGUCAAAGGCAACGGCUCAACCGUUGUAAGCCCUUGAAACUGUCGGGCUUGAGUUCAGGAGAGGAAAGCGGAAUUCCAAGUGUAGCGGUGAAAUGCGUAGAUAUUUGGAGGAACACCAGUGGCGAAGGCGGCUUUCUGGACUGAUACUGACACUGAGGCA